UGUUAUGUGGGCGGUUUUCCGCCGUGUCUCCUUUGCUUGGAUAGGUCAAGACAUACUUGUAAGAACUAUUAUCAUAUUACACUUGUUACCUUUUCAAUUUUUUGUCUUCAUUUUCAAAAUCCAGCAGUCUACCUUUGUAGUGCAAUGAUCUACACACAGUCAAAGAUAUGCUUUAAUGUAACAUUUGGCAUGGGAUGAUGUGUAAUCAUUGAUAUGUAAACGUAGUGCAAUGAUCUACCCACGGUCAAAGAUAUGCUUUAAUGUAACAUUUGGCAUGGGAUGAUGUGUAAUCAUUGAUAUGUAAACGGUUUUGAUAUGUUCUUCUGCGCAAGUGAAAAUUGUAAAGGAUUAACAUUUUGUAGUGGUGAUAGAAACUUAUUCAGUCAAAGAAAUAAACUCGUUUUUAUGUACUUCAAAGAAAAAAGAAGCUGUUUGGAUUUUGUCAACACGAAGUCAUGAUAUGAUUGAAAAAGUGGUACACAUGUACCUAAAUAUAUUUAUUGUGAGAAAAAAGUUCUGGUAAAAACCUAAGCACUUAUAUUAACCUACCUGCAUUCUUGGACACCUUUUUAUCUCUCUUUUGUAAAAAGAAUAAUGGUAACUUUCUUUCCCAUGGAACUACUAUACUUCUGCUGAGAUAUCAUAUUUUCUGUAAAAAGUGAAAUUAAUCAUACCUGUAAAGUGUAUUUUAUGCGGACAUGGGAAAUGUGUAGCUUCUUGGUUCGAGUUAGUUUGUUUGGUGUGUGUUUAUGCCGAGAGAUCAGUGGGCAUGCUUAGGCAUAUUUCCCCUCUUGGAAUUCCGCUUCUAUCUUUUUCUCCAUGGGUUGCCUGAUCUCAAGAGACAAAAAUAUUAAUAUUUUUUAAUUAUUUAUCGGAAAAGGGUCAGAACCGCCCCUAACGUAUUGACUUCAGGUUAAAAAUACCCUCCGUUAACCUAUUUUGAAGAAAAUGCCCCUACCGUUAACAUUCUGGCAUAAUUGUGCCCCUAAAUCUAACAAGUCAGUUUAAAAUGCCCCAACUGUUAACCUAUUUUGAAAAAAAUGCCCCUACCGUUUUAAAUAUAAGUACAGUCAGUUGUUAACCUGUAAAGAGUAUUUUAUGCACACAUGGGAAAUGUGAUGUUUUAGCUUUUUGGUUCGAGUUAGUUUGUUUGGUGUGUGUUUAUGCCGAGAGAUCAGUGGGAAUGCUUAGGCAUCUUUUCCCUGUUGGAAUUACGCGUCUAUUUUUUU
RNAcentral lists this long non-coding RNA (1229 nucleotides) under Nicotiana benthamiana. RNAcentral describes it as "long non-coding RNA (NBEN_LNC017868)". The record is from RNAcentral. Lineage: Eukaryota; Viridiplantae; Streptophyta; Magnoliopsida; Solanales; Solanaceae.